UGGAUUUGUCUGCCUGCAAGGCAAACACCCCGCUCUUGCGCUAUCACUCUGGCCCCCAAAACUGGUUUUUAUUUUAUACGUUAAUGUGUGCCUCCUGCUGUUAAGGAUGUAAGAAUCUGAUGCCUUUAUUGCACCAGUUACUUAGAAGUUAUGUAAUCAUUGCUGUACUCAAAUAUUGGGAGCUUUUUAAAACCAAUAAUUAUUAAUUUUAAAGUAUGAGAAUUGAUAUCCUAUCAUAUAUGUUUUAUCUAGAGCUUAUGUAUUUAGAGCAUUUGUUUGGAGGGACCAGUAAACAAUAUGUUUGAACAUAAAUAAAAACAUAUUCCAACUAAA
Molecule: long non-coding RNA, 333 nt
Organism: Suncus etruscus (white-toothed pygmy shrew)
Lineage: Eukaryota; Metazoa; Chordata; Mammalia; Eulipotyphla; Soricidae
Exons: 2
Source: RefSeq, a predicted model, not a curated record